UCCGGUUUGGCACCGGCAGUCUCCCACGAGUCCCCGGCAUAAUCCGCUGGCAACAUGGGAUAGGGGUUGCGCUCGUUGAUGGACUUAACCAAACAUCUCACGACACGAGCUGACGACGGCCAUGCAUCACCUGUCACUGCGGCCCGAAGGCACAGUCUCCUUUCGGAGACCUUGGCAGGAUGUCAAGCCUGGGUAAGGUUCUUCGCUUAUCAUCGAAUUAAACAACACGCUCCACCGCUUGUGCGGGUUCCCGUCAAUUCCUUUAUGUUUUAAGCUUGCGCUCGUACUCCACAGGCGGGAUGCUUAACGCGUUAGCUUCGCCACAUCCGGGAUCGAUACCGGGUACGGCUAGCAUCCAUAGUUUACGGCGUGGACUAC
This 378-nucleotide unclassified non-coding RNA is filed under the name uncultured bacterium. Its description in RNAcentral is "contains 16S-23S intergenic spacer region". The record is from RNAcentral.